RNAcentral lists this long non-coding RNA (326 nucleotides) under Homo sapiens (human). RNAcentral describes it as "non-protein coding lnc-ART5-1:3". Lineage: Eukaryota; Metazoa; Chordata; Mammalia; Primates; Hominidae. The record is from RNAcentral.
CGGUUUUCCCACCACCUCCAAAUCAUGGAAGACACAGGGUGCAGGCAGAACCCCCGGAGCCAUGGCCAGCCCUUCCGGCAGCUCCGAAGCCACUGGCAAGCCCCGAGGCAGGGAUGGCCGGCCCAGGAGGGAGGAGGACGACGUCCCUCCCGAGGAGAAGAGGCUGCGGCUGUUGCUGGAGGGGGGAAGCGCACAGCCCGAGGACGGGGAGGACGCGCCGCGGCCGGGCAGGAAGGAGACCGGCACCCAGACAGGUGGCGACGGCAGAGGAAUAACCUUCACUCUUCUCUGCAACGAAUCCCAAAAGUAUGUAGUUGAGCUGACUG